GCCAGGUGUAGUGGCUCACACCUGUAAUCCCAGCCCUGUGGGAGGCUGAGGUGGGAGGAUCACUUGAGCCCAGGAGUUCAAGAUCAGCCUGGGCAAUAUAGUGAGACCCUGUCUCUA
This 117-nucleotide non-coding RNA is filed under the name Gorilla gorilla gorilla (western lowland gorilla). Lineage: Eukaryota; Metazoa; Chordata; Mammalia; Primates; Hominidae. The record is from Rfam by way of RNAcentral.